AAUGGGCUACAUUAUCUAGCUUAGAUUACACGAAUCACAUUAUGAAAUCUAAUGUGCCUGAAGGAGGAUUUAGUAGUAAAUUAAGAAUAGAGUGCUUAAUUGAAUUAGGCAAUAGGGCGCGCACACACCGCCCGUCACCCUCCUCAACUCAACCUACAAAAAUACUUAAUAAUAUAUCUAAGUAAAGAGGAGAAAAGUCGUAACACGGUAUGUGUACUGGAAAGUGCACUUGGAAUAUCAAAAUG
RNAcentral lists this non-coding RNA (245 nucleotides) under Monodelphis domestica (gray short-tailed opossum). RNAcentral describes it as "Bacterial small subunit ribosomal RNA". It matches the Rfam family "Bacterial small subunit ribosomal RNA", at positions 1219 to 1533 of the family's 1533-position model. Lineage: Eukaryota; Metazoa; Chordata; Mammalia; Didelphimorphia; Didelphidae. The record is from Rfam by way of RNAcentral.